Molecule: transfer RNA, 72 nt
Filed under: Kluyveromyces lactis
Lineage: Eukaryota; Fungi; Ascomycota; Saccharomycetes; Saccharomycetales; Saccharomycetaceae
Description: partial transfer RNA
Rfam family: tRNA
About the family: Transfer RNA (tRNA) molecules are approximately 80 nucleotides in length. Their secondary structure includes four short double-helical elements and three loops (D, anti-codon, and T loops).
Source: RNAcentral
UCCGAUAUAGUGUACGGGCUAUCACAUCACGCUUUCACCGUGGAGACCGGGGUUCGACUCCCCGUAUCGGAG